RNAcentral lists this ribosomal RNA (505 nucleotides) under uncultured Bacillota bacterium. RNAcentral's name for it is "bacterial SSU rRNA". It matches the Rfam family "Bacterial small subunit ribosomal RNA", at positions 355 to 851 of the family's 1533-position model. The record is from RNAcentral. Lineage: Bacteria; Bacillati; Bacillota.
UAGGGAAUCUUCCGCAAUGGACGAAAGUCUGACGGAGCAACGCCGCGUGAGCGAAGAAGGCCUUCGGGUCGUAAAGCUCUGUUGUUAGGGAAGAACAAGUAUCGGAGUAACUGCCGGUACCUUGACGGUACCUAACCAGAAAGCCACGGCUAACUACGUGCCAGCAGCCGCGGUAAUACGUAGGUGGCAAGCGUUGUCCGGAAUUAUUGGGCGUAAAGCGCGCGCAGGCGGUCCUUUAAGUCUGAUGUGAAAGCCCACGGCUCAACCGUGGAGGGUCAUUGGAAACUGGGGGACUUGAGUGCAGAAGAGGAGAGUGGGAUUCCACGUGUAGCGGUGAAAUGCGUAGAGAUGUGGAGGAACACCAGUGGCGAAGGCGACUCUCUGGUCUGUAACUGACGCUGAGGCGCGAAAGCGUGGGGAGCAAACAGGAUUAGAUACCCUGGUAGUCCACGCCGUAAACGAUGAGUGCUAAGUGUUAGAGGGUUUCCGCCCUUUAGUGCUGCAG